RNAcentral lists this long non-coding RNA (250 nucleotides) under Elaeis guineensis (African oil palm). RNAcentral describes it as "long non-coding RNA (EGUI_LNC048861)". Lineage: Eukaryota; Viridiplantae; Streptophyta; Magnoliopsida; Arecales; Arecaceae. The record is from RNAcentral.
CUCCCACACUCUCCAGAUGGAGAAAUAAAAAUUCUAAUGCGACAACUGAAUUUUUAGUGGAUGCUGCGGUCCCACCAAUAUCGUGCACCUCACCUAACAGUUAUUGGUAAUACAAACAAACACCGAUGCAUGGAUAACUCUUUAUCCAGAUGCUUCUCUAAGCAUGUUGCAGUCACUUGGUCUCUAAGUCAUGUGAGCUCACCUAACAGUUAUUGCCCACACUCCUUAGUUAAGUCAGACCCACCGUUCA